UGCUUGCUUGGAAGAAAAAUAGUGAAAAACAAAAAAAAAUUGAGUUGUGAAAUAAGAGUUGUGAAGGUUUCAAAUGAGAAAUAAAUGGAACGAGGUUGAGAUGUGUGAAUAAUGUACAGUGAAUGUCUCUUUUGCAUCGGCAAUUUCGUUUUCAAUGGCCUUAGAAAUGACCCUUGUUUGUUAACCUAACCAAGCUUCAAUCGAAAAGCCCUUAGUGAUCUUCGUGCUUCCACAUUACCAUUUAUAAUUGUUAGACAUUGUAUGAAUUGAAUUGAUUUCUUCAUUGUUUGUUAGAGAGUGAG
RNAcentral lists this long non-coding RNA (302 nucleotides) under Lathyrus oleraceus (garden pea). Its description in RNAcentral is "Pisum sativum (pea) long non-coding RNA (PSAT_LNC033783)". Lineage: Eukaryota; Viridiplantae; Streptophyta; Magnoliopsida; Fabales; Fabaceae. The record is from RNAcentral.